This 497-nucleotide ribosomal RNA is filed under the name uncultured bacterium. RNAcentral's name for it is "partial 16S ribosomal RNA". It matches the Rfam family "Bacterial small subunit ribosomal RNA", at positions 28 to 507 of the family's 1533-position model. The record is from RNAcentral.
GAUGAACGCUGGCGGCGUGCCUAAUACAUGCAAGUCGAGCGAACGGACGAGAAGCUUGCUUCUCUGAUGUUAGCGGCGGACGGGUGAGUAACACGUGAAUAACCUACCUAUAAGACUGGGAUAACUUCGGGAAACCGGAGCUAAUACCGGAUAAUAUUUUGAACCGCAUGGUUCACAAGUGAAAGACGGUCUUGCUGUCACUUAUAGAUGGAUCCGCGCUGCAUUAGCUAGUUGGUAAGGUAACGGCUUACCAAGGCAACGAUGCAUAGCCGACCUGAGAGGGUGAUCGGCCACACUGGAACUGAGACACGGUCCAGACUCCUACGGGAGGCAGCAGUAGGGAAUCUUCCGCAAUGGGCGAAAGCCUGACGGAGCAACGCCGCGUGAGUGAUGAAGGUCUUCGGAUCGUAAAACUCUGUUAUUAGGGAAGAACAUAUGUGUAAGUAACUGUGCACAUCUUGACGGUACCUAAUCAGAAAGCCACGGCUAACUACGUG